UUUUUUUUUUUUUUUUUUGUUCUGGUCCCAAUUUUAAUUACCAUUUUUCUAUAGUGAGAUUUUCAUUAUUUCCAAUUUGUUAUUACAUGACAAUUUUGGUAGCUAGGAUGAGUUAAUAAGCAUUUAUCAUAUGAUAAAUUAGUGAAACAAAUUAGGACAGAAAACCAUUGGCACUUUUGAUCUGAAUUUUGGUUUAGUGGUAAAAGUAUAACACGUGAUUUAUAUACGCGAUAAAAACAUAUUAUAAAUUUGAAUUUUGUCGCUGACAAAAAUUUAAUAGAUAUAAUUAGAGUAAAGUUGGAAAUAAAAGUUUAUUUAUCCAUUCAAUUUUGAAUCGUGUAAGACAAUCUUAAAAGAUUUUCCGAUAUAAAAAGAAAUAUUUUACUUCUGGAAAGGUGUUAUCUUAACCUUCACAAAUAUAUGUGUUGGAUAAAUUGGGAUUUAUAUGUUAAAAGUAGUAUUCUUCGUCUCAAUUUACGUGAUAUUUUUGGAUUUUGAGAUUUAAAUAAGUUUUUCUUUGAUUAUAAAUUUUUCAGAUAUCUUUUAAUUAUUUUAAAUUGCUUAUUAUUAUUACUUACAAUAUUUUUUACAUAGUUUACAAAUAUAUAAAUUUCAUUUUAAAAAAUUGAAAAUUUCACGCAUAAAUUUUCGAUCAAAUUUUAUUUUAUAAAAAUGAAAAAUAUCACCUAAAUUGAAAUGAGAGAGUCAUGUGAGUUUUACCUUAAAAAAGAAGAAAGAACAUGUUUUUAGAGACUUAGAAGAAUUGUUGUUUAACACAUGAUUAAGUUAAAGAUAUUGAGCAUCAAUUGUGACUCAUUUGAAAAAUAGAUUGUGAUAUAUUUGAUUGAAAUAAAAAUCACCCAACAUAUUAAGAAAAUCGCUAUUUUUUCUUUCAAUUGUUGUUUCGAAAAAAGAAGUUUAAUUCGUUUUGAUAAUUUCAUACAUCAUUUUCAAUAUAAAUUGUAAUUAAUUUGACUUUAUUAUACUCUUCAUUUAUUCAACGUUCUUUAAAUUUUAAUAUGAAUAUCAGAUAUCUAAUGGAAAAAAAAUAUCACAUGUCUACAUUAUUGUUAAGGUAACAUAACAAAACUAAGAGAUGAUAUUAUUUAUAUAUUUUUUUCAUAAAAAUUAGUUAAGUUAGGCUUAUAAUGUCACAUGUCCAUCAAUGAUAGAUGUACUUGGCCUUACCAUGUAUUAAAAAUAAUAAUCAAAGAUUGUUAAAUUAAUGCAAGUCCUAUCAAAAUAAUUCCUACAUUAAAUGCAUUGAGAUAUUCCAUCUUAAUAAAUGUAUAUUAUAUAUAUAUCUUGACAACUUUGUAUUUCUGUUUUUUUUUCCUUUUUAUUUUAUUCUUCAUUGUCGGUUAAAAUAGUUACUAUAUAUACAUAUUUUUUUAUAAUAAAUAUAAAAGAAAUAUUAAUUUAAUUUUUAACUUUUUUAAAAAAAGAUUAUAGGUGUUAGGAUCAAGCGUUUACAAAUCAUAACAAAAGUUAUACCUAAUAAAAAAGACGUAAUUUUAUUUCUUAAUUAAUUCCAUCAAGCAAGCGUCAUGUUUGAGAAUCAUGACUCUGAUCUGGACCACCCAAUCCCUCGUGGACCUUGUCAUCGGCAGGAUGUUGACAUGACUCAACAACUACCUCAAGCAGAAUGUUAUUUUUGGAAAUCAAACUCACGACAUUGACUCUAAUACCACUUGUUAGGAUCAAACGUUAACCAUCAUGCAAAAAAUAACAGCUAAAUAAAAAACACACAACUUUAUUUCUUAACUAAAUUCACAAAGCAACCAUUAUCAUCUUCGAUCAUGAUUCCGAUCCGAACCAUCCAGUCUCUCGUAAACUUUGUUAUACGCAGAAUAUUAACAUUACUCAACAAUAUAUUAAUUUUACGUGUGUUAUAUGCAUAGCUUUUAUCAUUUGUUACAUGAAUAGAAAUGCAUGCAUGCUGCAAAAAGAAUAGAUCGAUAAUAAAACGAAAUUUUUUCUAUAACUUUACUUUUUUCCCCUAUAUUUGAUAAAUAUCAAUCGUCUUCAUAAAUAUUCUUUUACAUAUAUAUUAUGACUAUUAAAGAUAAAACUUUCAUUUGAUGAAAUUACAAUUGGCCUUAGGUAGUAAAACUCUCAGUUAUUACACGCGAUUGUAUAUUAUUAAUACUAUUCAAAUCGAGUUCAAAUUUAAUAGGUAAAUAUAUAAAGACCCAAAAAUCUAAACUGAAAGUCGCAAAUAAUAUAAAAACUAUUUAUACUGACAAAUGCAUGAUAUUUUCAUCUUUUUAAAUAAUUUUUUGGAAAAUAUUCAAAUCAAACAUGUGGUGUAGCCUUAGUUUUGAUUAAAAUUUAAAACACACGUCCAAUUGACAAAGAUAACAUUUUUUUUUUCUUUCUGCAAAAUGGGAUUAUAUUGUGGUUAAAAAAAUAAUUUUAUAAAAAAAUUGGAAACAUAUUGGGGAACAUUGUGCAAUAAAAUUUCUUUUGGUUUGCACAAUCAUAUUUUAAUUAAGAUAUCUUGUCCAAGAUAUGUUUUGAAAGAGUUAAAAUAUAUAUAUUAGAAAAAAAAAACUCUAGGGUGGUGUGGAAUUAUCUCUUUGCUUCUAUUUAGUUAUUAUUAUUAUGUCUGAGUUGUGUUGUAGUGUGUGAAUGAAGUUGAAAAAUACGAAAAAAAUUUUUUAAAAGAUAUUAGUUAUUUUUAAUGAUGUGAAAUCUUUUAGAAAAAUUGCGUUAGUUGGUUCAAAGCAGAUAAUAUUAUUACAAUAUUAUCUCUACUCGUAGCUUUGAACAUGCAUAGACAGAAAAAAAUCAGUAGUCUUACAAUUAUAAAUGGUCAGUUGAUAUAGGUGAUAUAGAUUUAAUUUAAUUUCAAGUUGACAGAUGAAUGAUAAUGGAUCAUGUGAAACUUGAUUCAGCAAAGAGAUCGUUCGAUAUCUCUUAACGAGGUCUCAUAUGAAAAGGUAGAAAGAAAAAAGAAACUACUAUAAAAUAUUGAACAAUCUUAACUAAUAGUUUAGAAAAAAUUAUACGAAUAUGAUUCAAAAUGAAGCAUAUACACGUUAUUUAAGAGUGUGUACAAAUUAGCUAGGUGGGAUGACCAGGUUGCGAUAACCUUAACUCAAUAGCCUUUCUUUAGAGUAAAAUUUGUCAAAAAUAAUCUUUCUGCUUUUAUAAAAAUAAAAAUAAUAUCUACGUACAAUCCUUCUAACCAAACUUAUAAAGUAACCAUACUUAAAACAUUUCAUAUUGCAAUCAAAUCUCAUAUAAACAAGAAGUGACACUUGCCAAAAUAAAUAGAACAUAAUUUCUACUAAUUAAGUUAAAAGGUACCUUUAACUAACAAUAUUUGAUCCCACACAAACAUUGAUAAUGUUUUUAAAAACAACUUCCACAUUGUUUGUCUAAAUGUUUAAAAAAAGGAAAAAUCUUUUUGGCCAGAAAAUUCAGUUAGAAUUUGAUGAGAAUAAUAUCUUUUCUAUUUUAUUUCACCUUUUAAAAUAUUUAUAUUUUUAACUUUAAUACCUUAACUAGAAAUAAAAAAAAAGAUCAAUUUAUUUUUAAAUUAAAAAAUUAUAGUUUUUUGAAUUUUUUAAUCAAAUUUUUUGAUGCACUUUUCAAAACUUAAUUACCAAUCACUACCUAAUAACUUUGUGAACUAAUCAAUCAUGUUUGCUUUGUAUUCAAAUAUCACAACAAAGUAAUUUUCACACAAAUUAAAAUAUGACUUUUUUUCAUCACAAACAAACAAACUAUUUAUAUAUAUAGUAAGACAUACAUCACAUUCACAAAAAGCUAAUUUCACCACAACCAAACAAGUAUAUCUACACUUUAUUUUAUUUUUCAAAAUAAAGUUCUCAAUAUUACUAGAAAAACAAAAGAUUUUACCACCCCAAAUUAAUGAAACAAUUUAUAUUAUAAAACAUAAUUCUCUCAUCUUAUUUUCAGUGGAUCAACUCAUCACUAGAAAAACACAUAGUAAAAAAUAAAAUUUUAUUAAAAUAUCAAAAAGUUUUCGAAUUUUUUCAUUUGAAAAGACUACUAUUUUUUUAUCGCGUAUUUAGUUAAAGUAUUUGUAAAAAUAACCGCUAUUUUUCAAUGAAAAUUUUGAUUUAAAAAAUAUUCAUCUUUCAAUAAAAUAGAGUGUCAUCUAGCACUCCGCCCCGACCCAUUCCAUGCUUUCGAGCAAUUUUUCUCAUAAAAGUUAGAUCUUUUUUCUUUUCGUCUUCAAUUAAAAGAACAAUAAUAGAAUGAAAAUUUAAGCGUAAUCAAAUUGUUUGUAACACAUGUAACGAUGUAACAUCACCCUCUAUCUUCCAACAAUAUCAUUUUUUUUCUAAUUCAAUCAAAAUCGAAAAUCGUUAAAAUAGAAACCAAUAUAUAUUUGAAUAAAACAAAAUGAUAAAUCAAUUAUCCAAAUAUAGUUAUAGCAAGAUACAAUAGAUUAUACUAAUAUUAUUACUUUUAUAUAUAUAUAUAUACCAUCCAAAGCAACAAGCAAUACUUUGUUAGACAUGAAUGUCUCUAUUGUCUGUCUCAUGAAGACACAAUAUCUGUGAGUAAAAAGAUUUUAUAUUAUUAUUUUUUUGUAUAUAAAAUGCAUUUUUCUUAGGAUAAUAAUAUAUAUUUAGGGGUAGAAAAACUAGGCUCUAGCAUUAACAUUAUUAUUAGUGUUGGAAUAUUAUAUUCUUACGUUAUAUAUGUCAAUACUAAAAUUGGAACACGUAAUUGUAUUUGGUUAAAUAUAUUCAAAUUAGUCAAACUAAUUAAUCUUUUUUUAAUUGUUUAGGAGGUAAUACAUAUUGUUACAAUUGUCAUAUAUCUAUGCACUAAAAUUGAUCAAUAGGUCAUGAAUAAUAUGUCAAAAGUUUUUUUGCACAUGAAGUAGGUAGCUGAGAUUUAUAUUAACGGACAUACACGUGUCAUAAUUUUAUUCAUUGAUUUGAUAUUUAUUAAAUAUUGAAUCGACGGAUAAGAUUGUGUCAAUUGUCCCUAUUUGGUCUAAUGUAAUAGACAUAUAUGCUCUGUGUUUUUAGUGAUAGAGACAAUAAUAUCUCAAAAGUAUGACAAAAGAUAUUCUCAUAUUAUUUAUAAUUAUUCGAAUAUAUUUAUCGUUUUUCCAUCAAAAUUUAAAAAAAUUUAUACAAAAGAAUCAAAUAGAGAUAUUUUAAUUUUAUAAAAAAAAAAAUCUCCUAUCAAGUAUCAUACGGAUCAUAAUUAAGAUUUAUAAAUGAUUGAAAAGAUCAAAGUACUGUUAUGCCUUUUUAUAUUAAUUCUUGUCUAUUUAGGAUCGAGUGCUUGAAAUUAAAACUAAAAAGGGAAAAGAAAGGCCUAGAAAGCAACUUGACUACAAUUACUUGAAAGUGGAAAAAUUGACAGCAAACAGACCUAUAUAUAUAUAUAUAUGGCUGUUCAAAAUCGAAUCGAAACCGAUAAGGCGAACCGAUAAAAAAGUUAUUGGUUUAUAGUAUUAGUUUAGUAGUUUUGAUAACGGUUUUGAUUUUUUUUUGAUAUCCGAUUAUCGGUUCUUAACGGUUUAAAGUUUUUUCUUAACGAAUUAACUGAUUACCCGAUAGUAAAUUAAAUAUUUAUAUUUAUAACAUUUUGUAUAUAAAGUCCUCGAUUUAGAGUUUAAUUUCCUACUUUUAUUUUUUGUUGUUUCAAACACUUGAUUAUUCUACGAUGUAAAAGCGUUUGCUCUUGAGCAAAGAUGUAACUUGUGAACUCAAGUACAUGGUUUAUUUGGUUUGUCACCUUGUUUCUAAGUGAUUUUCAAUAUUUUUUUCUUUUGGGUCAAAUCUUAACGGUUAAACCGAUAACGAUCAAAAAUCGAUAAGCCAAUAUCUUAAUGGUUUUAUAAUGGUUUAGCAUCACUACAAAUCAAUAACCAAUAACCAACCCGAUAAACAUCAAAAUCAAACCGAAUUUGUCGAUACACAACCCUAUAUAUAUAUAUAUAUAUAUAUAUAUAUAUAUAUAUAUAUAUAUAUAUAUAUAUAUAUAUAAAAUACUAUUUCUUGGUCCAUGUAUUUGCAUCUUAUUAUUUUGUUGUCAGAUUUUUUUUUAAAAUUGAGGUUUUAUCGAAAACAAUAUUUUAAGCUACAAAGGUGAAGCUAAGGUUUAGUUUAUUUCUCCAAAAAUAUGAUUAACUACACAUUUCCAUCUCAAAAUUAGUAUAUAUAUUUAUAUAAUAACAAAUAUGUAAAGAAAAAUUCAAUAAUAAAUAAGUCAUAUAUACUUAUUAUUGGAUGGAGUUCUUGAUUAUUAUUAUUUUUAUUAGUGAAUUUAAUUGCGCUAUGCGCGAUUUUAAAUUUUUUAUAUAAAUUGUGUUUAUAUAUUUCUAAUAAAAUUUACGCACAAAUUAUACUUCCAUUUCAAUUAUUUCUUUAAAAGAUUUUUAAUUUAUAUAUUAUUUAUUAUUUAUAAUCACUUAAAAGUUCUAAAUCUUCUAUAGGUACUCGUGUAAUAAACUUAUAAGUGAAAGAAAAAAAUAAUUAUUUUUCUUUAUAGAAAGUAGAGAAAGAAAAGAAUUUCAAGAAAUUUUGUAUAUAUUUUGAGCUUAUAUAUAAAAUCGUUUUUAAACUUUUUUUUUUUAAAAAAAAUGAAGAAUCACAAAUACAUUUACAAAUAUACUUAUCAAAAAAAGAAGAAAAAAAUAAGAACCACAAAGUAUAUUGUCUAUAUCGAUUUUUUGAACGUUGAGACUAAAUGAAUCAUAAGAAAUUUAGAGAAAAACAUCAUUAUACUAUUUUUUAAAAUAAACCAACAAAUAUUAUAAAUUAUCUUACAAAAUUUUUAAAAGUAUUGAAUUUGACAAUCUCUAAAAGUAAUGAAUUAAUAAAGAAAUGAUAAAAUAGUUCUCAAUCAAAACAAUACAUACCUUAAUUUGGCCGUAAGAAUGAAUUCAUUAAGUUUUAUCAAAAUAGAAUAUUUAAUAGCACAUGAAUUUCUCAAAAUAAAGUAUGAAAGAUGCAAAUUAAAAAUAAAAUAUUGUAAAUCUGCAAAGUAGAAAUUGAUAUUAUUCCUUUGACUCCUUUAAACAUAUACCUGCAAAAUAAGAAGUUCGACUCUAUAUGUUGGAACCAAUGAGUACAUGUAAAAACUGAAAAUGAAAAUUUGAAAAAAAAACACACUCAAACAAAAAUAUUUAACCAUAAUAUCCUAAAUAAUUGAAAUGAUAGCAAUUUUUGCCAUAUGUAAUAACAAACUACUUACAAAAAAUAAAAAUAAAAAAUCUUAAGCACUUCAACUACUAUAUAUAAAAUUAGGGAAACAACAUUAAACUUGUUACUCAUCAUGUGGAGGAUAAAAGCAUUUCUUUAGUCUCGAAUCUUGAUUAUCUUACGCUCCUCUAACAUGCUCCUUUGAACAUAUACCUACAAAAUAAGAAUUUCGACUCCAUAUGUUGGAACCAAUCAGUACAUAUAAAAAUUGAAAAUGGAAAUUUGAAAAAAAAAAUAUUUAACCAUAAUAUCCUAAAUCAUUAAGAUGAUAGCAAUUUUUGUCAUAUGUAACAUGCAUUUUGGAUAUUUAUAUAGUGAUCGAUGAAGUCAUGAGAAUUAAAUAUAAGGAAGAUAAAAAAUCAUUUUAUUUUGUAGAAUAGCCCUUUAGGAGGAGUUAUUAGAGGAUUAAGGAUAGUCUUUUGAGUUUCAUAAACUUAUUUUUUUUAAUGAGAAAUAAAGAAGAGUUAAUGAGGAAGGUAUAAUUAAAAAAUAUAAUUUUAAAGUGAUUUUUAACCUAUCAUAUAAAUAAAAAAUAAAUUUUUAAUUUUAAAAAAAAAAGAUAAAUAUGAAUAGUGACCAUUGAGAUUGAGAUUUGCCACAUCACCUAAUCUUUUAUUUAGCUUUAUUAUAUAUAUAAUUUUUUUUAUUUAUAAAAAAUAAUAAAAAAUAGAAGGUAUAAAUUAUAAUAACAAUAAAAACUAAAAAAUUUAUAAUAAUAUAAACUUGAAAAUAAUAUGUAGAAAACGGACAUUAGGAAAAAAAUAUUAUAUAAAUGAAUUUUUUUAUGUUUGAGGCAAUAUGGUAGCCUUUUGAAAUUCCUUGAUUUAAAGAAGGUGUAAUUAUCAUUAAAUAACUAAUUAAUAGUAAAAUAUAUAUACACAUAAAAUUAUUGUGUAAGAAAUAAUUUAAAAAGUCAUAUUUUUUUUAAAAAAAUAGAAAAUAUUUUUCUGGUCAUUGAGGCAUGCCACAUAGGCGGAAUGAAGAUCCUCAUUUAUAUAUAUAUAUAUUGAUUGUAUGGAGUUCUUGAUUUUUUAAAUUAUUUUUUUCAAAAUAGAAAGACCUAGAAAGCAACAUGACCACAAUUAGGACCUUUGAAAGAGAAUAAAUGAGAAAAUAUAGGAGGGGGGCUUUGCUAUAAAAAUAUUUGGAAAAGAUAAACAAAAUAAAAAUUGUCAACAAACAAUUCAUAUUCAGUAUAAUCUUAUAAAUAAGAUAAAAAAAAAUAUUGUAUAUGUAAUCUUAUCUCCAUUUUAUGGUAAUAUAGUUGGUUGAUUCAGUUCAAUUUUAAAAUUUAUCGGUUUGAAUAGAUGAACCGUUACAAAAAUAUUAAGGUAUUGACUUAUCAAUUUUUUAUCGUUAUCAAUUCGGUUAUAUAUUGAUUUGACCGUUAAGAUUUGACACAACAAAAAUAUUAAAAAUCACUUAGAAACAAGGUAACAAACCAAAUAAAACAUGUACGUGAGUUCACAAGUUAUAUCUUGCUACAGAACAAACACUUUUACAUUGUAGAUAUACCAAGUGUUUUGAGACGAUAAAAAAUAAAAUAGAAAACUAAACUCUAAGUCAAGAAACUUAUAUACAAAAUGACAUAAAUAUAAUUAUUUAAUUUACUAUCGGAUUAUCAAUUAACCCAUUAUAAAAAAAAACUCAAACCACUAAGAACCAAUAACAAAAAAAAAAAAAUCAAAACCACGAAAUCAAUAAGCCAAUAACUAUUUCUGAUUCGAGUUAUCGAUUUCAAUUCGAUAUUAAAUAAUCCUAAAUAAUGCAAUACUCAACUCAAAUAAAACAUAUUUAUAGCAAAUACAAUAACAAACAAGCCAUACAAUACUUAUUAUUAGAUUGAUUUUUUUAAGAAAAAAGAAAAAGAAAGGCCUAGAAAGGCAAUAAAUGAGAGAAAAUAGGAGUGUAUUUAAAAAAUAUAUUUACUAAAAAAAAAAUGAUAGCAAAGAAACUAUAUAAAAAAAAUUUCUUGCCCUAAAAAUUUUGUCUUUGUAUAUCAUCAUAAUCUGAGAUCUCUCUCUGACACCCUUCCUAAAGAUCCUCUGAUCAAAAAGUUCCAAAAAAAAAAACCCAAUUUUUAUUUUUUGUUAUCCAUUCCCUGUUUGAUCCCUCUGAUGAAGGAACAAACUCUGUCACCAUCAAUCUUUAAUGGGUUUUCACAGCUAAGCUUGUAGUUGAAAUUUGAUACAAUAAUAUUUAUGUUUAAGGUCCACCAAGAAACCAGGUUCAAGGUAUGCAAAGAACACCCACUGUCACCAUAUUCUCUGAACUCCAAAUAAAAACUAUUGUUUUCUUGUUUUUGGGGACAAAAGUUUAGCCCAUACCCUUUUGGUUUUUUUUACUUCCAUUUGCAGGUUUGUUACAUAUUAAUGGUGUCUUGGUCUUGUUAUGCUUGUGGGGUUGUGGGUUUUGAAUAUAAGCAAAAAAAAAAACUGGAUUUGAGGUUGGGGUUAGGGGUUUUGAUGAAUGUAUUGUUUGCUGGUUCUUUUGGAUAAAUUAUGUAAAAAGAUUCAAACUUUAUCAAGAUUCUUGGAUAAAUAUAUGUUUAUGUGAUAUAUAUAUAUAGAUAUAUUGAAAUUUGUAUACCAAAAAAAAAAAAGAAUGGUUAAACCUUGCUGGAAACCUUCUGUUGAGGGGGAUGGUGGUGUAGGGAGGGGUGGGGAUACUAGGGGUAGGGUUGAUGGUUUAAUGUGGUAUAAGGAUUUGGGGGUUCAUGUAAAUGGUGAAUUUUCAAUGGCAAUAAUACAAGCUAAUAAUUUAAUGGAGGAUCAGAGCCAGCUUGAAUCAGGGCCAUUGAGUUGUCUUGAAUCAGGUCCUUAUGGAACAUUUGUUGGAGUUUAUGAUGGACAUGGAGGACCGGAGACGUCCUGUUUCGUAAACAAGACUUUGUUCUCCAAUCUUAAGAGUAAGCUCAUCAUGUUCCUUUUUGAUUGCAUUUGAUUAUUAAUAUGAUUCUUGAUAUCGUGGUGAUGUCGUAGUUUUGAAAGUGUUGAUUUUUUUCAAGAUGUGAAUGUUAAUGCUGGUUAAGUUUUGAUGUAAAUACUAAAAAUGAUUCAGGUUGGUAGAUCUGAUCUUUGGAAUUUACAUAUUGUGCUAUGUGUAAUUGUUGUUGCAAGUCCAGUGUUUCAUUGAUAAUGAAUCAAGAAUGUUACAAAAGCGGUAUAUCAAUGUACAUUAAGAUCCCAAAAAUUCUGGCCAACGUUCGAUACAGAUAAGUACAUCCAUCUAGCUAUGGCCCCUGCUGUCUAAAAUGAUGCCUUCCACAAUAUUUGAUGUGUCUACAACUAAGAUAUUGCUGGAUUUUGCCUUGUGAUUCUACUUUAUAGACACAACUUUCAGGGUACUUUGUCAAACUUAUAGUGUUUAUACACGAUAUUGCUUUACUACCACCUUGAAUUACACGAAAGAUCUUACAAUCUUGUUGUCUAUUUUACAUGUUCGUUAAAACUUUUAAGAUAUAAAGAUCUGGUUUUGUCACUUCUAUGAGUUAUGUAAACACAACUUUCAUCAGAUUUAAACGUAUUUUCCUCUUUUAUUAGAAAUAUUAGAACGACUUAAGAUUUUGAUACGUGCAAUAACAAUCCAGUAGAGACACACUCGAGGAAGAUGCUAUCUAUAGAUAUCAUAUGCUUUUUGCAGUAUCGUGAUCUGAAUUCCUAACACUGUUGUGCUUUCAACCUUACUACUAUGUGUGUUAUUCACCCUGAAACUGUCUAAUUAUCCUCCAAAAAUGUUUAUAAUUAUUCCUUGGAACUUAUAUUCAUCUGUUUUAUAUUCUAGAAAGUUUAUGAGUAGUAUAAACGAUAUCUAUUUACCUUCAUCCCUUCAUAAACAGAAUUUGCAACGGAGCAUCAAGAAAUGUCUGCAGAUGUCAUAAAAAAAGCUUUCUUGAAAACGGAUGAGGAGUUCUUGUCACUUGUGAAGCAACAAUGGUUUGAGAAGCCACAACUUGCAUCUGUGGGAUCUUGUUGUUUGGCAGGCGUAAUCUGCAAUGGACUACUAUAUGUUGCCAAUGCCGGAGAUUCACGUGUGGUGUUAGGUAGAGCAGAGAAAGCUGCAAGGGGUGUGACUGCUAUUCAAUUGUCAAUGGAGCACAAUGCUAAUAAUGAGUCUGUGAGAGAUGAGCUUAGAUCAUUGCAUCCCCAGGAUUCACAGAUUGUGCUUCUCAAACACAAAGUUUGGCGCGUGAAGGGUAUCAUACAGGUGAUUUAUCUGUUUCUAUCACAUUCUUAGGCCGUCUCAUGUUGAUUUUUCAAAAAUAUGCCUCAUAUAAGUUACUGCUAUAAUAUAAAUCUAUGGUUAGGAGUUGAUAUUGCAAGUAAGCAAACCUAAAAGUUAGUUAUGUUGUCCUUUGAGAUCGACUCUUUAUUAUGUAAUAUAAGUCGCUUUGAUGCCUGAAUUUUUUUUGAGAUUUGAGGCUGUAAAGAUUAGACUAAUUGUGGUUGCAUUAUGCAUCUUGGUUUGGAAGAAAUCGCCGCUACUGCAGGUGUCAAGGAAGUGUGUGUGACAUACGAGUUGAUGUUCGUUUGUUAUCCUCUCUAUAGGUUUCGAGGUCAAUUGGUGAUGCCUAUCUUAAGAGGGCAGAGUUCAAUCAGGCACCCCUGCUGCCCAAGUUUAGAUUGCCCGAAUCCUUCUCUAAGCCGAUCCUCAGCGCGGAACCAUCAAUUUUCAUUCAUAGAUUGACUUCCAAAGAUCAGUUCCUCAUAUUUGGUUCAGAUGGUCUCUGGGAACAUCUUAGCAACCAGGAGGCUGUUGAUAUAGUCCACAGUCAACCUCGAAACGUAAGCAUUCAAUCUCUGAUAAUAUGAAUCGUCUUUUAUAUAACUAUGUACGAAGGGUCUAUCGGAAACAACCCCUCUACCUCUAAUGGUAGGGGUAAGGUCUGUGUACAUUUUACCCUCCCAAGAUCCCACUUUGUUGAGACUACACUAAGUAUGUUAACUAUCUAAAGAAUCUUGAGUCGAGGGUCUAUUGGAUACAGCCUCUCCACCUCUGACUUAGGAUAAGGUAAUUCUUCGAUGAAGUUUUAGUAAAUCUUGUGCUUUUUUCUCUCUUGUGACCAGGGUAUUGCCCAGAGAUUAAUCAAAGCUGCUCUCCGAGUAGCAGCUAAGAAAAGAGAGAUGAGGUAUUCAGACCUGAAAAAGAUCGAACGAGGUGUAAGGAGGCAUUUCCACGAUGAUAUCUCGGUUGUUGUUGUGUUUCUGGAUUGUUAUUCCAUGAAUCGAAGCUCCUCUCACGUUCCGAUACUUUCCAUUAGAGGAGGCGGUAUGCCUGCUUCUCCCAAACGAUAGAUCCCAAGACUUUAAACAGAGAAGAAAGAGAGCUCGUCUUUUGGAGGCCUCGAAUCUCUUUGCUUCUUUUCUCCAGUUUCUUUAGGGUUGUAAUCUACUUUUUAUGUGUUCUUAUAUUUCCUCGAUUAUCAAUUCAUCAUUCCUUGCUGAACAACGUAACGUGCACAACAGUCUCGUGUUACCAGGCAACGUAUAAAGAUGUACACGAGAUACUUUGUGAGAACAGCAAAAGAAAUGGAACAACCAUUAGAAGGAAGAAGAAUACCUACCUAAGUUAUGUUCUGCAGGUUACAAAUUUGUAAAUACUAAAAACUGUUGUGUGACAAGUACGAACUUGACUCAAAUUUCGCAGUCCUCUUAUCAUAUCGUGAAUAAUUUCGUUCAGGGUUUCAAAUUCAACGAUUGAAAUUAAAACACAAACUGUACAGACAAGUUCUCUAUAAUAAUUUGUAAAAUAAAUGUAGACAAUGUACACACUAUUUUUGUCCAAAAUAUGUUUUCCAAUACUUCACUUUUAGAAAACAAACAAAAACCUCAAAUCUGGGCGUGAAAAUUCAUAUAGAUGUAAAUAAAAGAAGUCACCACAAGCAUAAUGAACGUUAGUAUGAGUGCAAAUAUCAGAUUGUCACCAACAAAUUUACUGUCUUUACAAUUCAAGUAACCGAAAUACAACCACUUGCUACUGAACUUCAAGAACAAAAUAGCAAGAGACUAUACUAACUCCGACAUCUAUUGACUACAGCCUACACGAUUCACCCAAAUACCAAGAUACUUGACCACACCUCCUUAGUGUUAAAUCUGUUGCAUAUGACCCACGACAUCAAAAACUGAAACACUAACCUUGUAGAUAAACAAAACCCAAGCACACCAGCUUAAAUGUUAUAGAAAUAUGGAUUUGAUAACUUCAUCAUCAUACGGGCAGCGAUGUUACAGUAAAACCUUCUCUGAAUUCAAAACUCUGCAAAGAUGUAGCACAAUCAAGUGGUUCUUCUUGAACAAAAUUUAAGGCCCUCGAUGCAAUAAAAACUAGUCUUACCUUUCCUACUUGCAAGGCCAACUAAGAAUAUCACUAACAAUCUGACCAAACUAGAAUUAAUAUAUGAUGCCUCCAGUAUGUCAUAAAGGGUGACUACUUAUUUUCUAGAUUAGCAAAAACUUUUAACUUUCUACCGACAAGUCAUGAAGGACCAUCCAGAUCACAAGAGUGGACAUCUAAUCAAGUAUCUGUGGUACUACAUUGAGCACUUGGAGAAAUCAGAAAUGCUAUCACCAGUAGAUCCUUGAUAUGCACCAUUUUCUCAUUUAGGUGAAAUGAAAAACCACAAGAAUGAGAAAGAACAGUUGCAGAUUGAUAAAGGAAAGCCCGAUGAUGAAGUUGUCAAAAACAAAGGUUUCAAGUAGGAAAUAUUGAGGUUGUAGUUUAAUCGUUUCAGAUAAGUUUUUUUAAAAGAAGUUGAUUUCAAAUAUUGGUUAUGGGUCGUCACUUCUGACAGAAUAACACACUAAGGAGGUUGUGGUCCAUGUAUCCCAGCACUACUGGCUAACCUAAGAGACGACAAAAGCCAUUUUCCCCAUUUUGAAGGAUGGACCUGCUACUAGGGAACUUGCUAAUGUUAAGACUUCUAACCUACCAAACUAAACAAGGAACUCCAAAAACGACUAAAACAAAAACUUUGGGAAUUUAAAGUCACUCUUAACAGAACUCCUAACCAUUCCGCAGCAACAAUAAACUAUACAUCUUAAGUAACUCUUGCUGUUGAACGAAGUUUGAGAAUGGUUCAUGUUCCUCCUCCAGCCUUCUCCACCGCAACAGUCUCCUGUGUUAAAGUACAUGCAAUAGUUAAUAGAAAGUUGUACUAGUAAAAGUACGCUCAACACACGGAUAGUGCACGUAUGAUCACAUCAAAAUUCAAAGCAAACACAUACUGACUGCUACGUUUUUCAAAUUCAUUCCAAAUCACAAAUUUCACUUAGAAAUGAAACCUGCUCAGUUUUUUCUUUGCCGUUCUCUUGUGAUUGGGAACCAGACUUGGACUGUGAAAACCUGUCGAAUAACACCAUCAGCCAAAGUCAUAUACCAAUUCGACGCCGAAAUAUUUUAGACCCUCAGCUGACAUAAAGAAAAAGGUGAAAAGGUCUCAUUGUAACCUGAGGGCCCUAGCUUUCCUUUUAUCUUCCUCCACAGGAUCAGCCUUCGCAGGAGGUGCGAACCUUGCCAGCCUAGCUUUCUUCUUAGCAUCCUCAUCAGUACUAUCAGAUUGGCUAAGCCCAAACCUGACAGAACCAAAUCUAUCAACAAACACAUAAACAAGUAAACUACCCAGCUGGCAGUAGCCCAAAUAGAUAGUACACAUACCUCUCAGCCCUAGCUUUCCUCUUCUGCUCUUCAGCUUUCUUUGAAGCAUCUGAACCCUGAGGUGCAGACGUGCCAAACCUGACACAAAACAGUCCAACAAAGGGGGUAAGAACAACUUAAGAUAGAUCCUCAUAUGAGUUAAAUGUUUGCGGCCGGCUAUUGGGUAUCCCAUUUCACAACAAACACAAGAUAUGUUUGCUGGACUAUAAAGGCUUGAAGAUCAACUGUAUGGAAGCUGGAAAGAAAGAUGAAAAGUCUAAGGAUUCCCAUGCUGGAAUUUUUUUGAAUUCCAACAAUAUUCUAUAUAAAGGAACCAUAAAUCCAAAAGAUAUUAUUAAGCCUCUCAGCCUCUCAACUUUCAAGCCUCUACUAACAAAUGAAGGGAAUGCACGUUUAGAUGCUUUAGUCCAUUCUGCUCGGGUGACACGCAUCCAUUUCAGCUUAAUAUACCUCACUAGACAAGAAAAACAAAGGGCAAUUGGAACUACCUUCCCAGUACAAGUUCUGGUGCUGUUUGGAGUGUGACGGUGUGACCCCUUUAUGGAACGAUUAAGUAGUUAAUCUCUUGUAUUUCAUUUAAAAUCAGGACUGCUACUUCUUUAUUAUGACACACACAAAAUCCACCAGCACUUUAAAAGAUGAUAGCUUUAAAUAAUUGUUUCUAUGGUUGUAAAUGUAAAGCAAAGGAUAUGUGCAACACCACCGUCUAGGAACCUAAACAUAGUGUUCAGCUACUUUGCCUAACAAAUUGUCGAAGUGAACACAAGUACACAACCAGAACAAAGCACUAAACCUUACCAACCCAGUCAACUACCCCUCAGAUGUCUAGGAACCUAAACAAAGAGUUCAGCUAAUGUGCCCUCUCAGACUCGAAUUCAACCUUGAGCAACCAAUCAACUAUGCCUCAAUCCCAAACAAGCAUGAAUCAGCUACACAAACUCAACACACUAUGUUCAUGCCAGUGGUCUGCCCGAACCAGCUUGCACGCACCUUAGACUAAUUACACAGUAUACCUGCAACCUCCUACUCAAACUAAAACGAAUCAUCUAUAUUUGCUCCAGAUUCCGACAAAGGUAAAGAGUUUCUCUUUUCUGAAGUAAUACUAUUCGUUUUAAACACACAUACCAAAUCCAGCAACAAAAUUUAACUACAAAAAGUACCUCUCAGCUCGAGUGUUUCGCUUCUCCUCUUCCGAAAGCUGAACCGUCAUUCCAAACCUCUCUGCUCGCUUCAUCUUUUUCUGUAUAUCAGUAUCCUUACCACCGCCGCCGCCGCCGCCUCCAUCCGCCGCCUUAUCCAACUUCGCUUGGUCCUUAACUCCAUCAGACGUUGGCGAUUUCAAUGAGUCAGUUGCGGAAUCAUGAGCCGGAGCUUCAGAAACGGCGGUCGGAUUUGGAUCCGGUGACUGAACUAGGGUUUUGAUAGGGUUUUCAGGAAGCUGCGCCGCCGUCGUAGUCAUGAUAAAGAAUUCCGUAGAAGAAACAAUUGAUUUCCAAAUUACUACAAAACCUCUCUACUUCGUGGAUGAGUAAUAUACGUUCAAAUUUUGUGAUUUAGAGUCGAUAUAAUCUCAUAAAAAAUAUUAUAUUAUUAAAUUAAAUGAUUUUUAUUUAAAAUAUUUGUAUUAAUGAUUGAUAUAAAUAGUUAUUUACUCAAAAAAUUAUCGGUAAAUAUAUAAUAUAUGUAUAUUAUAAAUAUUUUUAGUCGAACGACCAAUCCCCUAAAUGCUUUGAAUAACGGCAGAUAAUAACUUAUUUAUAAAUUCGAUCUAUUAUUGAACAUAUAAGAUUACAUUUAUUAUAUACUUAUCGACUUUAACUCGAAUCUUGUGCAGGUAGCAUGAUAUUCUCGACAUGUUUAGAUGAGAGAAGAAAGUGUUGUAAUAUUACGAAAGUGACGAUGAAAAGUUGAAAUUUUUUAUUUAAUUGUUGAUCAAAUUUUUCAUCGAAAAAUAAUUAAGUUAUAAAAUAGCUUUGUAAAAUUGACGUCUUUAUCUGAUCGUAUUUGUAAUAUUGCUACCGACUUCCCGGAGGAAAAUCCGGUGUAAAGCUCCACCGUCCGACGGUGGUUUACCAUGACUUGCUUAAAUAUGUGCUUAGCCCUUUUUACUACACAACUCCCAUUGUGUGAUGAACCUAAUACUUAUGAUAAGAUAAUUUGAUGACUAAUUAUGAUGAUAAAAAUUAAAAUAGGUUUAAGUCAUCGAUAGCCACUUAAAGUUGUCCGCAAAUUUCAUUUAGACACCUCUUCUUAGGCUUGUUCCAAUUGAACACCUAGACAACAAAAUUUUUUACCUAUUAUACCCUUUUUGCUGACAUGGCAAAGCGUUUGUAGUACACACAAAGAAAGGAGCGUGAAAGCAUAACUUUUCAGUAAAAAAAAAGAUUUUAUAUCUUCUUCUUCUUUGAGAAAGCUCAUCACCAUUUUUCCAUGGCAAGCUGCAACCAUCACCACUCAUAAUUCUGCAACCAUCACCACUCAUAAUUCUUUCUCCUUCUUUUUCGAUUUUCAGCCAUUCUCUUUUUCCAAUACACCAGUUUAUUAAAUCGGUUGCUAUCAUCCACAAGUCUACCAUUGUCAAACAACCUUAGCCUUUCAAACAACCAACUACACAUUCAAAUUAUCCAUCGUAAGUUUUUCAGCCGUAAAAAAUGUUAUCUCUGCUGCCAUCAAAAGUAUCUAACCUUGUUCAUCUAUCUUGUCAAAUUAAACCCAAACAUAAAUUAAAUAAAAAUCUUAAAACAAAAGAAAAACAAAAAAAGGAAGAAGAUGAAACAGAGAUUCCUUUCCUUUGAAAUGGAAUGUUAAGCAAAUUUCAUUAAAUAAAGAUUAAAAAAAAUUAAAAUAACGAGCAAUUAGUGAUCAAUCAUCUUUUUACUUUACUUUAGUGUUCAUUAUUUCCGGCAAACUCCAUUUUUUGGGGCAAGAAUAAUAUGAAUUUGAAAUUAUUCUUUGAAAUUGUUAAUUUAUUUAAAUUUUAAAGAACUGACAACACAAGAAGAAAAAAGAACAUCAAUAAAUCUAAAUGAAGUUUGAGGAUAAGAGUAAGAUUUAAAAAUGGUAGUCUAUGGUGUAUUUGGGGAAGGUUAUGGAGAAAGAGGAGAAGAGUAAUGGUGAUUUUCUUUUUCUUUUAUUUCUAAAAAAAUAUAUAAUUUUUCCUUAUUAUUUUUUUAGUUAUUCUAAGUCCAAUACCACGUGUCUUUUUUUAAUUAGUUACUAUGCCACAUCACCAGCAAGUGUAUAACACACACUCUCUUAUUUCAGCUGAUUGUCUAUAAAGUGUUUGAUAGGUAAUUUUUUUUAUUAGUACGGGGGUUCAAUUGGAACAAGCCUAAGAAGAGGUGUUUAAGUGAAUUUUGCGGACAACUUUAAGUGGCUAUCGAUGACUUAAGCCAUUAAAAUAACUAUUAAUUAAGUUAUUGAUUAUUUUUUUAAAUGGUCAUUUUUUUAUUUUUUUAAAUCAUUUUAAUGUUUGUUUUCAAUUUUCCAUUUCGCAAAUUGAAAAUGACAAUUUAUUAGUUGAUGUAAUAUAUCAAAAAUAUAAUAAAUUACAGUCGAAAUAAAAUGACAGUAAAAAAAAAUGUUUAAGUUGAGGUGCGAAUAUCUCACUCACUUUAAGGAGAUUCAAGCUCAUUAUGAUAUAAUAUACUCCGAUCCAGUUUCUUCAACAUAUAAUUACUCUCUUCUGUAUAUGAAAAUAUUUGAAGAUUUAGAAUAUUUUUUGUCUCGAUAUACAUAAUAUAACACUUCUCAUUUUUUCUUGCACUCUUUCACCACUACAAUAAAAACAAAUUUUAGCGGCAUUAAAUAUUAACAUUAAUAAGGAGUGUUAAAGUCUUUACCGACAUCAGUUAAGUAUCAUUAGAACCAAUAUCGCUAAAAGCUUUAGGAACAUAUACAAAGAUUGACAAUUACCGCUAAAAAUACAUAUUCAGCGGCGAUAAAAAAUUAAUUGUCGCUAAUGAUAAUUUUUCUUUUAAUGCACGUAUCCCUUGUUGUACAUAAACACAAAGAAAGUCCAUCACUAUUUAUGUGUAAGAAAUUUUUUCUUGCAAUGAACUGAAAGAUAAUAAAUAGUUAAUCGAGUAGGUAAAUAAUUUACCGUAAAUGACCUAGAUGUUACAUGAAUUAGUGGUUAUAGGAGCUUUAAAAUGAUAUUCAUAGCCUUUUGGAAGGAUAAUUUAUAAUUUAAAUUUAAUUUUGGCACCAUAAAUUUGUUAAAGUAUUGGAAAAUAUUAAAUUAAAAUGUUCUAGCUCAUGAGCAAUAUUUAUUGGUUAUAAACCCCACAAUCCUUCACUUUAUAAUACAUAAAAAGCAAUUGAAAAUGAUACACUAGAUGUUGAAAUGAGAACUACAACUAUCACAUCAAAUGAUAGGCAAAUUACUUUAAUAUUGUUUAAAAAAAUUCUCUUUUUGUUGUACCUAGUUAAUUUUUCAUCUUAGUUUAAUUUCAAUAAUUAAAUUAUUAUGUUCAUUUCUCAUGUUAUUUGAAUUUAGCAUUGUAUACACUAAAAUCAUAUGAUAUGUAUUUUUGAGUUUGAACAAUCAAUUCGACUUUAAUUGAAAAUAUUAAUUUUCUCCUCAAGAUGAAAUCCUUAGUUAAAAACAUUAAUUUUCUCCUCAAAGAUGAAUUUCUUAAAGCAAAUUUUAAUUUGUUGGAUUAUGAAUAUCGGAUAAAUAAUAAAAUAAAAACUUUAGAAGUUUUUAUUCAAAUAGGAGGAAAUUAUUAUAUUGUGAAAAAAAGAAGAAGCCAAGUGGACAUAAAAAUUAAGGGUUAUAUUUUUAUUAAAUCUAAAAGUUUUGGUGAAUUUUAAAAUAUAUUUCUAAUUUAACUUUAGAAUAUAAAAAUACAUUCUACUACUUUAUGCAUUUCCCUCCCCUUUUCCCCCUCCUAAAGGAAUAAUCAAAUAGAAUAUAUUUUUAAAAUAUAUUACAAUUUUCUCUUUCUCAUGUGAAAUGAUAAUAUAAGUCUUUCAAUAAAAACUUAUAAUGAACUAGAACAUAAUUAUAUUGACUAAUGUUUAUCGCGAUUAUAUUAGUUUAAUAAUUUACAGUUACUUAUGAAUUAAAUAUUGUGACUAGAAUGGAUUAGUUUUCAUAAAUAUCAAGUAUUUAUAUAUAUAUAUAUAUAUAUAUAUAUCAUCAAAUAAUAUAAGUCUUGAAUUAAAAAUUACGGUGAACUAGAACAUAAUUAUAUUAAUCAAUAUUUGUCACGAUUAUAUUAUUUUAAUAAUUUACUCGUGAGUUAUUCAAUGAAUUGAUUGAAAGGAAUAUUAUAACUAGAAUAUGUCAUUUGGUCACUAACCGUCUAAAUAGUCAUAGUUUUCUUCUUCGGAGGGUUGGUUUGCCUUCUCAUCCAACUUGAGAUCGGUCAGAUGGGCCUUUACUUUGUUUACUCGAAGUUCUUUUUGUCUAAUCUGAUUUGCUUCUUUGCGUUCACUCGAUUAAUUCUCAUAAAUAUCAAAUAUUUAGUAAAUAAAAUUAAAAAAAGAAUGAAAAGGGUAAGGGAUGGAAUAGAUUGGAUGGUACAAAUUUUGUGUUUGUUGUUGGAAAAUUCACAUGAAAGGGAAGAUGAAAUUUUCGAAGUCGAAAAAAUUAUUCUCUUACUAAAAAUGAUAGUAAUUGUUUAUUUAUCGAUCUGAAUAAGAUAUAUUAUAUUUAAAUUAAAUAAUUAAAGGGAAUAAAAUAUAAAUAUUAUCUGAAAUUAAAUUACUUAUAUAUAUAAUUGAGAAUCCCUUGUAUAUAUUUGUACCUUACUUAUAUGUGGAAAAGCACUAAAUAAUUUGAUUAUUAGUAGAAAAAAUAAAUAAAGGUUAUUUUCACUGUUUUCAAUUUUGUCAAUUUUUAUCACAAUUUAACAAUAAAGUUAACAAUGAUUCAUAGGCUGAAAUUUGAAAUAAUUGAUAUACCAAACAUAACAUUUUUUUUUUCAUAUAUGGUAUUAUAAUGUCCAAUCCAUCAUCAUUUGAUUGUUUGACUUAAAGUUUUUGUAAUUUAUAAUCUUUGUAUAUAAUAAUUACCUUACAUAUUUUUUCAUUCCCUAAAGGCAAACAUAAAAGUUGUAAUUUAUAUUUUAAAAUUAAAAGUUUACUUUUUAUAACAUAAAGUUAAUCAAAUUAAACUCAUAAAAUUUGGGAAAUUAUUAUUAGAUAAUCUUGAUAAAACUAGGAAUAAUAUCAACAAUCUUAAAAAAAGAAAUAUCAAUGUUUUAUUAUGUAUUUUAGAUGAUAUUAUUGUGUGUUUUUUAAAAAAAAAAAUAAGACACAUUCAACCAAUUAUUAAUAAAAUUUUAACAUGCAUAUUUCGUAUGAAAUUUUAAGAAUAUAUUAAAGUAACACAAAUAUUUACAUAAGUUCGAACCAUAAAAUAAUUAAAUUUCUCCAAAUUAAUCGUUGCACAUUGAAUUAAUACAACACAGAGUUUGAAGUUAUUCGUGAAGGAUCAUAUAACUAAUAUUAUAAUUAAUAUGGUGCUAGAAGAGAGUAUGUUAAGACGCGUUCAAGCUAAUCUAUUAUUAUUUUUACUAUAAAUUAUUUUAUUCAAUUCAACUUUAAAUAUAAUUAUGCGGGUAUUUUUUUAAAAUAAUUUUUUUAACUCGAUCUUUGUUUUUUUUCUCUAAAAUAUUUUUUUAUAACCCCCAACUUCUUAAAAUUGUCCUAUUAGCAUCACUAUUUUUAUAAUACUUUAUUUUUAGCCAAAUCAAAAUUUACAGAUCAUUUAUUCUACGUAAUUGCGUACAAGUAACGCAUGUAUACUACUAAUAAUAAUAAAAUAACAAAAUGAAAUAAAUAUGAAAAUAGGACUAAAACAAAAGGGGAAAAAAAUUCAAGUUAAUAUUUUCCACCCUUGAUUUAGUGUUAUAACAGCUAAAAAUUAAUUUUAACAGUUAAUAUGAAAUAAUUUUGGGUUGCAUUAGCUACCGUUACAAGUUUACAUAAUAUUCUAAUUCAAGAUUAAUUUUGAAUGAAAUUAAUUGGAUCAAAUCCUAAAAAUAAUAUUUAUAUUAUAUUUGACCUGCAUUAACUACCAUUACAAAUUUACACAAUAUUCUACUUCAAAAUUAAUUCUGAAUAAAAAUUUAAUUGGAUUCAGUCAUAAAACCCAUAUUUAUGUUAUAUUUGAUCUUUUAUAACAUAAAUAACAAUAAUUAUAAUCAUAUACUUUUUUAUAAAAUUACUGUUAAAUAAAAAUCUCACUCAAUAUAUGUAUUUAAUGAAAAUCUACUAAUUAUAUUAAUAAUUUUUCAUUUAUUUUCCAUUUUAACAAUUAUUAAGUAAUAUAUAUAUACACACACGCAGCUUUUUAAAUAGGAACAAUCAAAAUGAUAUAACCUAAAACAAAAGGAUUAUUUGCAUAAAUCAACCAUUUUCUGAUCAAUUUUUGCCUCUUAGUAGUGAAAUAAAUUCUAAAUAUCAUUCUAAUUGGUCAUUUGGUAGAUUGUACUAGCAUAUAAAAAAAUAUAUAAAUAUCAUUAUAAUUGGUCAUUUGGUAGAUUGUAUUAGCAUAUAAAAUAAUAUAUGUAUUAAAUUUUUAUUUGAUACACUUUUUCGACUUAUACAUGCUAAUGCAAAUGCUAACCAUAUACGGUAUUUGAUAUUAUUCUAUAUAACAUAAAUUACUAUAUUAGCAAUAUCAAAAUAACUAAUACAUACAUUAUAACCUCUAUACGCGCACAAAGUAAAAAAGAAGAAGAAGAUCAUUCAGGUAUUGUUGAGGUAGCAGUUUUAACAAAAUAAUCCAAUACCGUAUAAUAGAAGAUAAUCAAUUCAUGCUCAAGAUAACAUGAAAAUCCAAUAUAUAUAGCACAACAAAGCCAAUUUAAACAUUCCGUUCCUAAAUUAUUAUAAUUUACAAACACAAUUCACUACUAAACACUCGUCCAUAAAAAUUAAAACAUGCAACUUCACUACCAAGGGCUCAUGACUCAUACUUAAUCGAAAAGAAUAAUACAAAGACAUUUAAAAUUAAACUCUAAAGAUCUAAUAUGCUUAAAAUAUUAGUAGAAAAAAGACUUUAUUAGAUUAGAAUAGAAAGUAUAGAAAAAAGAAAAUAAAAAGGAGUCUUUUCUAAGUAUAAAAAAUUAGUUGAAAUAAGAACUUUUUUUUUGUUGACAAAUAAAAAGGUGGAGAUCACAGCUAAGCACACAAUUUUCUCACACACACACACAAGUGAGUCUAAUUUGUCUGUUUUCUUCAACCCUUUUAUUUAUUCUGCAUGGAUGUAUUUAUUCUCUUUUUCUAUACCCCCCCCCCCCCCCCCCCUUCUCUCUCUAUCUCUCUUUGUUCUGACACUGCUUAUUCACUUCACUAAUCUCUAAAGAUUUCAUCUUUUUUUUUUGGCUUUUCACUCUUUUUUUAACAGUUUCCAUACCAUUCCUUUCUUAUUCUGUCAACUGGAUCAACCAUCAUCAUCAUCAGCAUCUCUGAAUUCUAUAAGAUUUCACUAAUUUUGAGUUUUUGACUUGUUUGCUUCUUCAGGUACUUUCUUAACCUCAAGACCUACACCCCUUUUGUCCUUUUUUUCUCAAUUUUUGUUUGAUUUUCCUUUUUGGGUGUUGGUUAUAACAUUCAAUUUGUUAUAAAGUUUUGAGCUUUUUUACUUGGGUUUUUGUGGGACUGACUUAACUUCAUGACUCGGAACUCUUUUUGGCCUUUUUGGUGAUUGAAUUUGACCCUUUUCUUUAUUUUUGUUUAGUUUUCCUUUUUGGGUGUUCUUUAUUGCAUUUCAUUUCUUAUCAAUUUUUGAGAUUUUUGUAGUUGUUGUCAAUUGCCAUGGCCUCAUGGGUUUAGUGGUUUUUUUGGGGUGGGGGGUGUAUUUGAUUUGGGGUUGGAUUGAGUUGUAUUCAAUUGUUGUAAAGUACUGAUCUUUACUUAGGGGGUGUAUUUGAUUUGGGGUUGGAUUGAAUUGUAUUCAAUUGUUGUAAAGUACUGCUUUACUUAGGGGGUGUAUUUGAUUUGGGGUUGGAUUGAAUUGUAUUCAAUUGUUGUAAAGUACUGAUCUUUACUUAGGGGGUGUAUUUGAUUUGGGGUUGGUUUGAAUUGUAUUCAAUUGUUGUAAAGUACUGAUCUUUACUUAGGGGGGUGUAUUUGAUUUGGGGUUGGAUUGAAUUGUUGUGAAGUACUGAUCUUUACUUGUUAAGUUUUCUUAAUUUGGAGAUUACUGAUCUAAUUUUGGUUGUUAAACUUGAGCUUUUUUAGUUGUUUCUAUGGUUUUGUGUUUUUUGGGGGUGCUGGGGUGUAUUUGAUUUGGGGUUGGAUUGAGUUGUAUUCAAUUGUUGUGAAAGUACUGAUCUUUACUUGUUAAGUUUUCUUAAUUUGGAGAUUAUUACUAUUCACUUUUUCAAUUUGCUUAUCGACUUAUGUUUCGUUGUUGUGAUUUAUUGUUAGAUUUUUGGUGGUGGUGCUUGGUUGGGGUUGAAUUGGAUUCUGUUAUACAGUUGUGAAGUUUUAUAAACCUGUGAAUUUUAAAGAUUGGAUUUUUAGUAAUCUGUUCUUGAUUUUGGAGAUUAAUGAUCCGUUUUUGGUAAUGCUUUUAACUGGUUUGAUUUUAGAAGGCAAGUUUUUGAUUAGGUUAUGUUUGGGUAUUUUGUAUCAAUUCAGUUAGAUUUGGUUGUUGUGAUGAUGAAUCUGCGGUUAUAGGGCACUUUUUUUAUUUAUUAAUUCGACCCUUUGUCUGUGAUUUUUGAUGUUUAAUCAUCUGAGUCAGAUCGAUGAAUUCAAAUUCUUAAUCAUCUGAAUUUGGCAUGUUUGUAAAGCCAUAUUUAGCAGGAUUAAGCUGCUGCAAGCGGUAGUUUGAGUUUCUUUUUGUUGGCUAAUGUUAACUGUUUGGAUGAAGUGGUUGUAUAUUUUCUGUUGAAUAGAAUGUGUUGAUAAGCUUUGUUUAACUAGUCACUUAGUCAACAGUUUAUGCAUUUACCUUGUUGCGCUUUUUCUUGAGAGUUGGGUUUCUUAUAACUGAUAUGGUUUCGGAACGUCCUUAUGACUUCUUUCCGACCCUUGCCAUUAUUUUUUGCGUUGUGUAAUUUGAUCAUGCAUUGUCUCUUUCCAAACUAAUAAUUUUCCUUGUUUUUGAACCAGGCUUGAAGUAACUUUUGUGGAAAGUGAAACAAGUUUCAACCCUGGAAUGAUUUGAUGGGGGCGUCAAACUCUAAGCUAGAGGAAGAUAAAGCCUUGCAGCUUUGUCGUGAACGGAAGAAGUUUGUAAGGCAAGCUCUUGAUGGACGGUGUAAUCUAGCCGCGACUCAUAUAGCUUAUAUUGAGUCUCUGAAAAUUACAGGAACUGUUUUAAGGAGAUUUGCUGAACCUGAGGCUCCAAUUGGAUCUUCAAUCUACACUUCAACGAGUGCAACCCCUGAGCUACGUGGAUUAACUGAAAAGUCUCUUUCCCAUUUUUCAUUCUCUUCUCGAUCCAUCUCACGUCAUGUAGAUGCAACUGAGAAUAUCCUACCGUCUCCUUCAUCUCCAACCUCAAGUCGAUACCAUGCUAAUCACAUGAAAUUUAGAGGUACAUUUUCUAGGAAAGUUGAAGAAAAACCUUCUGUUCCAGUUACUGUUUCAGUUACUUCAGCUACACCUCAGAACUCCACGCCUCGUUCCGCAGAGAGGCCUGAAGCAUCACCUUUUGAAAUCCCUCAUGAAACUUCACCAUUUGAAAUCCCUCCUUCCCCUUCUGAAACUUCACCUUGGGACUACUUUGGUCUUGGCCAUGAUAUUGAUAAUCAUUUGACUUCACAAAAUGGAAGGAUUGAGAAUGGAAAUGACAAUAGACAUCAUGGAGAUGAGGAUAUAAUUUCUACAUCAGAAGAUGAAGAAGAACAUUAUUCUUCACCUGGAAGGGAUGGGUCACAGGUCUCUGAUGAUGAAUUUGAUGAGCCUUCCGCAGAAACACUGGUCCGAAGUUUUCAAAAUGUCAAUAGAACAACUGAUCAUGCUAGCAAUAGUGGCUCACCUGAAAUAACCUCUGUGAGGAGUGAAGUGUCAGAAGCCAAGUCUCUGAAUGUGGAGAAAAGCAAGUCACCUGAUCUGUCCCCACUAAGAGCUGCACCUUCAGGACCUGCUGAUGAUAACGACAUGAAGACACCAGUAAAAGAAAAUGAUGUUGAGAAUAAGGUUGCACCCAAGGACUUCUAUUUUAGCAUAAAAGAUAUUGAAUAUCUCUUCAUAAAAGCAUCUGAAUCAGGAAGAGAAGUUCCGCGCAUGUUGGAGGCGAACAAAUUCCAUUUCCGUCCAAUUUUUCCAGGGAAAGAAAGUAGGUCAUCUCUCUUUCUCUCUCAUAUCAGAUAGAAAAUGCACACAAAUUCAUCUUAAUUGUUUCAUUGUUUAAACAUAUUCCUCAAAUUGUUUUAGCUUCUAGGUUUUUUCUUUUUACGUCACGUGGAUUCCUGCAUGACAUUGGCACAUCAGCUAGAAGUUCUUUCUUACUUGAUAUGCUGCAUAUUUUCUUAUUUUAUGUGGUUCUUUUAACUGGUUGAUACAUACGGUAAGAAAUGGCAGUCAAGCUGAGGUUGAGGUCAGAAUAUUAACAGUCAUAUCUAUAUAAUCAAGUUAAUGUAUACUUGAGUAGGCAAGAGAGUGAAGUAAGUACUGGGACGUGAACUGUUGCUCUCUUAACUCUUUUACAUAUUAGUCUUUUCUGCAUAGCUCUUUAAUUGAUCAUUGACAGAUGUAUCUGUGGCAGGUGGGUCAAUGACCAGAGUAUUAAUGAAGUCUUGUUUCUCUUGCGGGGAUGAUCCAAGCCAGAUUCCUGAAGGUAGGCCUCUUUAUAUAGAGAUAUCUAUGGUGAAAUUUUCAGAUUCUACAUGUUUAAUAGUUGGUAGUGCUUCCGAAUGCUGUGUGGUUCAGUGUAGAUAUUUUGUUAGACAUUCCUGAGUUCUUUUCUCCCCACGUCACUUUUGGGUCCUGGUGUUUAUAAUUUAUGGUACGGAGAAUGGGAGGCAAGCACGAUAUGGGAAGGUUCCUUUACCUUGAGGAGUGCAUAUUAUUAUUUAGAUUCAACUUCGUUUUGAGAUGAUCUACAAAUAAAUACUGAAUUAAUUUUUCUAGAUCUUUUUUUUUUUUUACAUUCUACUCUACAUUGUUUACUAUAGUCUCCUAAACCAAUUUUAAGCAACCUUCUCUUCUAAUCUUGCUUAACAUUGUAUGACCACACAUCAAUCAUUCUCAGCAUUUGCUUUUCUAUAACACUCGUCUUAUGAAUGUGCAGGAUGUUAGAGGCCUAACAUUCACGACCAUAUGACAUUACUGACCUCAAAACUGUUCUAUAUGACAUGCCUUUUAAUUAUCUUAUUUUAUUUCUCCAUGUUACACUUUUAUCUUUGCUGGUAUAUAGAGCCUAGAUUUCCCUCACAUCCAGUCAGACAUCUGUUGAAACAUUUGCCAUUUUUUCAUCAUCUUCGACCUUCUUAUGUUACUCUCCAUGCGGUCAAAUGUGGUCAUACACAUCGAGACUAAGGGUUCGACUUCCGUAAUACAUGGUUCAGGCUUGGAGAAGAGAACAUUCUAGAUUCUUUGGUCAUAGAGAGAAUCAACUUAAGUCAACCGCCAGAAGAAUCUUUGAAAGCGACAUAAUUUGGCUAUUCUGUGAAACAAUAAAGAAAACAUUAUACUUGGAAAGAGAAACUAAAAAAGGGAAGCUGCUUCAAACACUAAAUUUAGUUAUUUGGUAGUAUGCCAUGUUCCAGUACAAUUUAAGAUACAAAUUCAAUAUUAAAUGUGCACUUAGUAUCUAUUAAUAAAUUUGAGACCAUGCAUAUAUCCAAAUUCACCAGACACUAAUCAUCGUUCUUGCUUGCUGACCAUUGUAUGUCAAAUGGAGCUUUUUAAACUUCUAAUCUGAUUUUGGUUCACUCGCUUUGGAUACUAUUAUGCAAGGUUGUGCGUAUUUACCAUACAUCAUGUUUUCUUAUUGUUUUUGUCGUCUGUCUUUUCAUUAUUUUCUUCUACAUGAAGCUUAUCCAGCCAUCUUAAUUUUUCUGUUCAGAGCCUCCUCAAAAUUCUGUGAAGUACCUGACAUGGCAUCGUACCACAUCAUCUCAUGCUUCAUCCCCAAAUCGGCAUGGUGUAAACUCCACAGAUGGUAUUGAGGAUGUUUCCAACAAUCUCUUCGAUAACUUUUGUAUGGUCUCAGGAAGUCAUGCCUCUACGUUGGAUCGGCUGUUUGCAUGGGAGAAAAAGCUAUAUGACGAAGUCAAGGUAAGAUGUUUCUUAUGUACGUAUAAUAAUGUAUUGAUAUGUUUAUUUGUCUAGCUAUAUGAAUGGCAUACAUAUUUGUGAACUAGUUAGUUAUACGUACACAACCCAUAAGGCUUGCUAUUCUAUGACAUUCCUAUGGAUGAAGAAUGUACCUCUUCAAUGUUAGUUUCUAUAUUUUGUUUGCAAAAGGUAUUUAGGUUUUAGGCCUAGGCUUCGUAGAGUAAGAAGAUACUAGAACUUCCUUUCGAAACUCUUGACUGAUCUCUUGAUGUAACCGGUCAAAAGAAACAAGUUCUUUCCACAUUUACGUUCCUUUCGUCUGUCAAGAUAUUGACAUAGACUUGCAGUGACGGUCAUAUAUUGACAUAGACUUUGCAGUGACGGUCAUAUAUCUUUUUUCAAAACCCAAGGCAUUUGUCUUCUGUUGAAGUUUCAUACUGGCUUUCAUUAUAGUCCUCUUGGAAGUACCAAUUUUCUUUCUGGUAUUAUUAUCGGAGAUAUAUAUAUAGUGUUGUGAAUUUGAUAUUUAUCAAUUAAGACAUACUGAGAUCCCAGACUUGAAAUUCAAUGCAUCUCAAAAUGGAACCUUUCAGUUGUAUAGAUUAACGUUUUCCAAGGUAAUUGUAGUUGAUUUAUUACAGUGCAUCUACUGGUGCUUUUCUCAUAUCAAUGGUGUUUAAGAUACUUAUUAUUAAAUUAGUACAUCCUCUCAUAUUAUGUACAACUAAAUGUAAACACCUUUUGGAAUUCAGGCUAGUGAGAUGAUCCGAAGUGAUUAUGAUGCUAAGCGUAAGCUUCUCCGACAACUAGAAUCUAAGGUAGAGACUCCUCAGAGGAUCGACAAGACGCGUGCUGUUGUGAAGGAUCUUCAUUCGAGAAUUGGAGUUGCAAUUCAUAGAAUUAAUUCCAUCUCUAGGAAAAUUGAAGAAAUAAGAGACAAGGAACUUCAGCCUCAAUUGGAGGAGUUGAUUGAGGGGUAUGUUAUUAAUGUUGCUCAUAUUUUAGCAUCGGAAUAUCGUUAGCAUUAAAUGUAUACAUGUUUGAAAGAUGAUGUUUUAGAAGGUUAAUGGCUGGAAGUUUCUUAUUAAUUUGUCUGUAUGGUUAUCCUCUUCCUAUCUCAGAUUGAGGAAGAUGUGGGAAGUUAUGUUCGACUGCCACAAGCUUCAGCUCCAUAUCAUAUCGAUAGCUCAUUCGCCUGGAAAUAUGAAGAUCCUUAUUCAAUCAGAUUCUCGUCGGCAGAUUGCAAUCCAUCUUGAACAUGAAUUGAGUUCUCUAUCAUCAAGUUUUACAAAGUGGAUCGUCUCUCAGAAGGCAUACGUGGAAGCUAUAAAUAAGUGGCUUCACAAAUCUGUCUUCCUCCGCGAAAAAUCAUCCAGGAGAAAAAGAAAGCAGCAGCCUGUGCCACUCAGAAACCACGGCCCACCUAUUUAUACCACCUGUUCUGUCUGGUUGGAGAUGUUUGAUUCAUUGCCUACUAAGGAGGUUUCAGACGCUAUAAAGGGGUUGGCUGCCGAAAUCUCUCACCUCCUACCUCGGCAAGAGAAGCACCAAGGGAAGGGUGGAAAUCAUCGUCAUGGAAUCGAUGGUGAACCAGGUCUUAAGACCCCACUGAGAGAUGAUUCUCCUGAAGACUGGAUAGCCGGCUUCGAUCAUUUUCGUACAAGCUUGACCUUUUUCCUGAGCCAGUUAAACAACUUCUCAGAGUCUUCUGUCAAGAUGUUCACUCAACUCCAAAAGGCCAUCCAAGAAGCCAAACAUGGUCAUGCGCUCCGCAUGAAUUCUCAAUCAUAAGAAGGUAUUCCGACCCUAUCUUGCUCGAGAUCUUCAAAAGUAGUGUGUUUUUAGAAGUAUUCAGCACAGGUGCGACAACAUUUUGGAGAGUCCGAGCAACAUAGUUCUGACAAAAAGAUACUGAGGAAACAACAAUGGAUAUAUAAUAGCAAAGGAAGGAUUAUUUUUUCUGUCAUUUGUACAGGAGAGGUGAAAAAAUAGAAGGAUAAAUUUCUUGGAGCUUUACAGAUAUAUUUUUGUUGAAUCUUGAAAAUAAAAAAAGCUCUAUAUAGUGGCUGUAUAUGCAAAUAUUGGGAGGUGAAAAUUGGGCAAUAUUUGAAAAGGAAAGGGGUGUAGAUUUAGUUCAUAAGGAGAGCUGUUUAUAUGAUAGCAAGAAAAAAAAAAUGUACUAUUAAAGCAUGUACAUUUUACUUUGAUGAACUCAAGUUACAAUUUCAUAAAAUAUUUUGCAUUUUAAUGUGGUUUUUCACUUUUCCUUUAUUAUUAUGAUGAUGAUAUCAUUUGAAAUGAUGAAAUGGGGAUUUAUAUAGCCGAUCUAAACUUUUUGUGACUAAGGUGGUGGUGUUAUGAUAAAGAUAUUAUGUAGUCCAUGCUGAGUUAAUCGUAUUCUUGGUCGGAGCAAUGAACUAGCCCCUUUACUAAUACUAAUGAAUGAAUAGGUCGAGCACAGGGAAGUCCUAGAAUGAGAGGCUAAAGUGUUUUGGCCGAACGUAAUCUAGUGGUUUAGGUUUGAGACUUCUGUGUUAAAGGUCUCGCCCGCAAAUCAAGAAACUUGCUUUUUGGGUGGAGCUAGUAGUCAUAUUCAGCUUGUCUAGUGUAGGCUACCUUCUCUACAUGAUGUGCGAUGAUGUGCGAUAUGACAUAGAAAUAAAGAUUUUAUCUUGUGCGCACUCAAAAUGUUUUAGGUAAACAUGAGAUAAAAUGAGUUAAUAUAGGUGAAUAUUGAGAAAAUAAGUUUGUUUCUCCGUGAGUUUUACAUUACAAUUAUUAGUUAUUUCGAAAUUAUCACUAUAUAUGUAAUUGAACACAAUUCGAAGCUAAUUUAGCUAACUAGCGUGUAUUUUAGUAUAUUAUAAAAAUUUCACUUUAUUAUGUAAACUAUUUUUACUACCAAUAGAAGGAAAAGGAAAAAAAAUAAAAUCCUAGAUAUAUCACUAUUUACUACCAAAGGCUAACACUAUAUUUACAAUCUUUAGAAAUUAUUUUUGAUUUGGCCGUUAAAGUAUUCACCGUUACAUCACACUUAACCUUAACGGUGAUUUCCCACGUCUUAACGGCGCCAACUUUAACUUUAACGGGAACUUUAAUGUUAACCUUAAACGGAACUUUUCCUUUCAUCUGUUCAUUCCUUAACGCCGUUUUAACGGCGUUACCAAGCAAGACGUUUGAUCCUUUUAGCGGCGUCUGAAAAACAGUUAUGUUAGUCGAAGGCUGAUAGAACUCCGGCAACUCGCCGUUAGAGAGACGGACAUCGGAGUAGAAUACGGUGACAGAGCUUCCUUUCCGGUAGUAAAUUCCGAUCUUAUUGUUAGGAUUUUCAGCUCGGAUAGUAACGUCGAAUUCCGGCGAUACCGGAGACGACGAAGUUAAGUUGAAAUUCUUAAUCGCGACGUCGGAGAUAGUGUAUUUUGGAGCUUCAGGACGGAAGACGAGGUAGACAACAGCAGCAGUGAUUCCAAGUGCGAUAAUGAGAAUUAGAAGGAGAGAUAAAGUAUAGCAAACGCACCGGCAACAGCAGCUCCGACGAGGCUUUCGUUUUCUCAAAGCUUCGUAACGUCGAGAAUUCCCCGGUGGAGGAUACCGAUAGAUUUGAUCUUUUGGUACUUGAACAACAUACGUUCCCGGCGACGGCAGCACAUGCUUUGUCUGAGUUCCCGUAGCUACUCCGCCGGAGUUUUUUGACGAAAUCGGUGAACUCGCCGGCGAUGAAUCUCGAGGAUGUACGCGAUCAGCCAUAGUGUAACUGAAAAUCAGAAAAGGAGGCGUAUGUAUUGUGAAGGUGUAAUGCGUUGUAUUUAUAUUUAUAGUAGUGCGUGU
Molecule: long non-coding RNA, 31871 nt
Filed under: Solanum lycopersicum (tomato)
Lineage: Eukaryota; Viridiplantae; Streptophyta; Magnoliopsida; Solanales; Solanaceae
Description: long non-coding RNA (SLYC_LNC000604)
Source: RNAcentral